RNAcentral lists this non-coding RNA (111 nucleotides) under Sporomusa malonica. RNAcentral's name for it is "TPP sequence". It matches the Rfam family "TPP riboswitch aptamer (THI element)". From Rfam's summary of the family: Vitamin B(1) in its active form thiamin pyrophosphate (TPP) is an essential coenzyme that is synthesised by coupling of pyrimidine and thiazole moieties in bacteria. The previously detected thiamin-regulatory element, thi box was extended, resulting in a new, highly conserved RNA secondary structure, the THI element, which is widely distributed in eubacteria and also occurs in some archaea. Lineage: Bacteria; Bacillati; Bacillota; Negativicutes; Selenomonadales; Sporomusaceae. The record is from Rfam by way of RNAcentral.
UCGAGUGGCCGAGGGAGCUCAUGUUAUGGGCUGAGAGUGGAACUAGUAAGUUUCUUACCUCUAAUACCUGAUCAGGAUAAUACCUGCGGAGGGAGGUCGUGUGUAAUUGUA